AAGUCGUAACAAGGUUUCCGUAGGUGAACCUGCGGAAGGAUCAUUAAAAAUUUAUAUUCCGGGAAUUCGUUUCGUUUUCCCGGAUUAUUUGUAUCCAAAUCCCACUCUUUAUAAAUAUAUUAAUUAUAUAAAACAAAAAUAAAAAAGAAAACUUUCAACAACGGAUCUCUUGGCUCUC
Molecule: unclassified non-coding RNA, 178 nt
Filed under: fungal sp.
Lineage: Eukaryota; Fungi
Description: partial internal transcribed spacer region
Rfam family: Eukaryotic small subunit ribosomal RNA (bases 1-46)
Source: RNAcentral